GCAUAUCAAUAAGCGGAGGAAAAGAAACCAACAGGGAUUGCCCUAGUAACGGCGAGUGAAGCGGCAACAGCUCAAAUUUGAAAUCUGGCCUCGGCCCGAGUUGUAAUUUGUAGAGGAAGCUUUUGGCGCGGCACCUUCUGAGUCCCCUGGAACGGGGCGCCAUAGAGGGUGAGAGCCCCGUAUAGUUGGACGCCUAGCCUGUGUAAAGCUCCUUCGACGAGUCGAGUAGUUUGGGAAUGCUGCUCAAAAUGGGAGGUAAAUUUCUUCUAAAGCUAAAUACCGGCCAGAGACCGAUAGCGCACAAGUAGAGUGAUCGAAAGAUGAAAAGCACUUUGAAAAGAGGGUUAAAUAGCACGUGAAAUUGUUGAAAGGGAAGCGCUUGUGACCAGACUUGCGCCGGGCUGAUCAUCCGGUGUUCUCACCGGUGCACUCUGCCCGGCUCAGGCCAGCAUCGGUUCUCGCGGGGGGACAAAGGCCCCGGGAACGUAGCUCCCUCGGGAGUGUUAUAGCCCGGGGCGCAAUGCCCUCGCGGGGACCGAGGUUCGCGCUCUUGCAAGGAUGCUGGCGUAAUGGUCACCAGCGACCCGUCUUGAAACACGGACCAAGGAGUCAAGGUUUUGCGCGAGUGUUUGGGUGUAAAACCCGCACGCGUAAUGAAAGUGAACGUAGGUGAGAGCUUCGGCGCAUCAUCGACCGAUCCUGAUGUAUUCGGAUGGAUUUGAGUAAGAGCGUUAAGCCUUGGACCCGAAAGAUGGUGAACUAUGCUUGGAUAGGGUGAAGCCAGAGGAAACUCUGGUGGAGGCUCGCAGCGGUUCUGACGUGCAAAUCGAUCGUCAAAUCUGAGCAUGGGGGGCGAAAGACUAAUCGAACUAUCUAGUAGCUGGUUACUCGCCGAAG
Molecule: ribosomal RNA, 897 nt
Filed under: Parvomelanocarpus thermophilus
Lineage: Eukaryota; Fungi; Ascomycota; Sordariomycetes; Sordariales; Chaetomiaceae
Description: LSU rRNA
Rfam family: Eukaryotic large subunit ribosomal RNA
Source: RNAcentral